AGUGAACGCUGGCGGUAGGCCUAACACAUGCAAGUCGAACGGCAGCACAGUAAGAGCUUGCUCUUACGGGUGGCGAGUGGCGGACGGGUGAGGAAUACAUCGGAAUCUACUUUUUCGUGGGGGAUAACGUAGGGAAACUUACGCUAAUACCGCAUACGACCUACGGGUGAAAGCAGGGGAUCUUCGGACCUUGCGCGAUUGAAUGAGCCGAUGUCGGAUUAGCUAGUUGGCGGGGUAAAGGCCCACCAAGGCGACGAUCCGUAGCUGGUCUGAGAGGAUGAUCAGCCACACUGGAACUGAGACACGGUCCAGACUCCUACGGGAGGCAGCAGUGGGGAAUAUUGGACAAUGGGCGCAAGCCUGAUCCAGCCAUACCGCGUGGGUGAAGAAGGCCUUCGGGUUGUAAAUCCCUUUUGUUGGGAAAGAAAAGCAGCAGGUUAAUACCCCGCUGUUCUGACGGUACCCAAAGAAUAAGCACCGGCUAACUUCGUG
RNAcentral lists this ribosomal RNA (492 nucleotides) under uncultured bacterium. RNAcentral describes it as "partial 16S ribosomal RNA". It matches the Rfam family "Bacterial small subunit ribosomal RNA", at positions 29 to 507 of the family's 1533-position model. The record is from RNAcentral.